Molecule: ribosomal RNA, 496 nt
Filed under: uncultured bacterium
Lineage: Bacteria
Description: partial 16S ribosomal RNA
Rfam family: Bacterial small subunit ribosomal RNA
Source: RNAcentral
GAUGAACGCUGGCGGCGUGCCUAAUACAUGCAAGUCGAGCGAACAGAUGAGGAGCUUGCUCCUCUGACGUUAGCGGCGGACGGGUGAGUAACACGUGGAUAACCUACCUAUAAGACUGGGAUAACUUCGGGACACCGGAGCUAAUACCGGAUAAUAUAUUGAACCGCAUGGUUCAAUAGUGAAAGACGGUUUUGCUGUCACUUAUAGAUGGAUCCGCGCCGCAUUAGCUAGUUGGUAAGGUAACGGCUUACCAAGGCAACAAUGCGUAGCCGACCUUAGAGGGUGAUCCGCCACACUGGAACUGAGAGGCGGUCCAGAGACCUACGGGAGGCAGCAGUAGGGAAUCUACGGCAAUGGGCGAAAGCCUGACGGAGCAACGCAGGGUGAGUGAUGAAGGUCUGCGGAUCGUAAAACGCUGUUAUUGGGGAAGAACAAAUGUGUAAGUAACGAUGCGCGUGUUGACGGUACCGAAUCAGAAAGCCACGGCUAACUACGG